Molecule: ribosomal RNA, 654 nt
Filed under: uncultured archaeon
Lineage: Archaea
Description: bacterial SSU rRNA
Rfam family: Archaeal small subunit ribosomal RNA
Source: RNAcentral
GCCUAAAGCGUCCGUAGCCUGUUCUAUAAGUUUCCGGUUAAAUCCAUUAGCUCAACUAAUGGGCUGCCGAAAAUACUGUAGAACUAGGGAGUGGGAGAGGUAGACGGUAUUCGGUAGGAAGGGGUAAAAUCCUUUGAUCUAUUGAUGACCCCCUGUGGCGAAGGCGGUCUACCAGAACACGUUCGACGGUGAGGGAUGAAAGCUGGGGGAGCAAACCGGAUUAGAUACCCGGGUAGUCCCAGCUGUAAACUAUGCAAACUCAGUGAUGCAUUGGCUUCUGGCCAAUGCAGUGUUGCAGGGAAGCCGUUAAGUUUGCCGCCUGGGAAGUACGUACGCAAGUAUGAAACUUAAAGGAAUUGGCGGGGGAGCACCACAAGGGGUGAAGCCUGCGGUUCAAUUGGAGUCAACGCCAGAAAUCUUACCCGGAGAGACAGCAGAAUGAAGGUCAAGCUGAAGACUUUACCAGACAAGCUGAGAGGUGGUGCAUGGCCGUCGCCAGCUCGUGCCGUGAGAUGUCCUGUUAAGUCAGGUAACGAGCGAGAUCCCUGCCUCUAGUUGCCACCAUUACUCUCAGGAGUAGUGGGGCGAAUUAGCGGGACCGCCGCAGUUAAUGUGGAGGAAGGAAGGGGCCACGGCAGGUCAGUAUGCCCCGAA